Molecule: RNA transcript, 4542 nt
Organism: Pezoporus occidentalis (night parrot)
Lineage: Eukaryota; Metazoa; Chordata; Aves; Psittaciformes; Psittacidae
Gene: ARMC2
Gene name: armadillo repeat containing 2
Exons: 20
Source: RefSeq, a predicted model, not a curated record
GGUGAGUGAGGGACUCGCUCGGCCCCGGCGCUCUGCCGGAGGAAUGCAAGCUUCAAAGAAUAAAAAUACAGAAGAGGCAGAACCAUUCUACAAGCUUUCAGUGCCAAAGGAGAAGACUAGUUCUGAGAUUAUAAGUGAAGCCAGAAAUUUUCUACGAACACUGAGAACUCGGAGACCAUUUACACCUACAGAAGAACAAAGGAGACUUUUUGGAUCUGGAUCCUCACGAGCUCCUCAAAAUAGACCCCCUUCAGUUUUUAGUCUUCAUGCAUCCAGUUUUGAUUUGGCUGAAUCAAGACCACUGUCUGGUGUUCGUCUUAGCCCACUGAAACAUAAACCGGUAUUAGUCACUUCUGCAAAAGAUGAAGAUUCUUCCAUUUCCUUUCCAAAAACUCUUGCUGAUGCUGCAGAGAUCAGAAAAGUCAGCAAUGCUCGGGCACACUUAUUUAGAAGAACUUCUUGGGGAAACUUCCUUUUGGCUAAAACGGUGCCUCCUGAUCAGAAGGAAGAGAAGCUAGAUUCUGAACAACCAGCUAUGAUGAAUAAUCUUUGCAGGACUAAUAAUGACUGCUUAGCAGAGCAAAGGUCAAACAUACCAUGGAAUGGUGAAAGCAGACAAUUAAUUUGUAAUGAGCAUGUCAGCGGAUUGGAGAGUAGAGACUUCGUAAAAGGGACAGCUGGAAAACUUUUGUUUCAAAUGAGAGGAGAAAGAAGUGUCAGCAGUGAUGGCAGAUUUGCUGAUGAAGAGCAACAGUUUCCCUGUGAGCAGAUGAAAAAGCCAGGCACAAGUCCGUCAUGGCCAAGAAGUACAGGCUGGAAGGGAAGAGAAACAGGCUUACAAGUUGAAAUGGGAAUAAAAGAAUCACAAGAGGAAGAAAUCUUUUGGCAUUUAAAGAUUCUACCAAUUCUUCAUGAACUGGAAAAAGAAGACAAUGUAGAAAAUCUUUGUCUGGCUUGCACCAAGCUCUAUCAAGCCCUGGAUGAAGAAAAUAUGCUUGGAAAAAGAUUUAAAAGAAGAAAUAUGCUUCUGAAGAUAUUAUAUAAACUUGUAGACAUUGAUUCAGACCCACUUUGCCUAAAGCUGGCAAAGAUUAUUCUGUCUAUGAAAGUGGAUGGAAAAAAUCUUCUCAGUGUUUGCAAGCUUGCAUUUAAAAUUUGCAGGAAUGAAGAAAAUGAUUACAUCAUUCAAAAUGAUGGUUUGUUGGAUUGUUUGUUGGAGGUUCUGAGAACUGAAGAUCUACAAAAAAACAAUGAAGCUCUCUUGUAUUGCAUGGGAGCUAUAAAAUUCAUGUCUGGAAAUGCAGUACUCCUUAAUGAAAUGGUGAAAAAAGGAGCUGUUGAAAUGUUGCUGCAAUUAAUGAAGCAGAUUAAUAAUAUAAAAGAAAAUGACAGAUAUUUCUCCAACUUGGGGCACCUAUUAGUACAGCUGACAGCUACAUUGCGAAACUUGACUGACUUGGCUCCGGUGAGACGCCAGCUCAUUCGCAGUGGUGCAGUCUCUGAGCUCUGUGUGGCGCUAGAGCAGCGCUUGAGGGAUAAGGAUGUGUGCACCUACCUUGUCAGGAUAUUCAGCAAACUUUCUUCCUACAAUGAUUUCUGCACAGCUUUAGCAGACUGCUCCAGAUGUUAUGUCUUAUUUUUAGCCCUACUAAACAAACACCAGAAACAGCAGGAUUUGGUUAUCCGUAUUCUCUUCAUUCUUGGUAAUUUAACAGCAAAGAAUGACCAGCCCCGUGAGCAAUUUUUUCAAGAAAAAGGAAGCAUUAACACCUUGAUAUCAUUAUUCCAAACCUACCAUGAACUUGAUUUGAAUACACAGAAAUGGUACCAAGGAAAAGGAAGGGAAGAAAAAAAACAACCAAAGCAUCCUUCAGAAGCAGAAGAUGUUCUGAUAAAACUGAUAAGAGUGCUGGCCAAUGUCUCUGUUCAUCCCAGCAUAGGAGCAGCUCUGGCAGUUGCCCAUCACGUUGUAGAAUUGCUUGUUACAGUACUAGAAUACAAGUCAGUUGAUGAGUGUGAGGAGUUGGUCAUCAAUGCUGCAAUAACAAUCAACAAUUUAUCCUACUACAAAGUGAAGAGUUCUGCUGUUCAAGACAAAAAGCUACACAUUGCUGAAAUGCUUUUAAGGCUGUUAAUGAGCAACAGUAUGGAUGGAGUUGUGGAGGCUGUCAGAGCAUUUGGCAAUCUUUCCCAGUAUCAUGAGAUCUGUGACUUCAUCAUACAGAAAAAGAUACACAAGUUCAUGAUUGCUUUGCUUGAUGCCAAAAAGCAAGAUGUCUGUUUUUUUGCCUGUGGAGUUCUGCUCAAUCUCACAGUAGAUAAGAACAAACGAGCAUUUCUGAUGGAGGAAGGAGGAAUUGGAAAGUUAGUUGACUGUUUACAAGACUUUGGGCCAUCAGAUUGGCAGCUGGCUUGUUUGAUAUGCAAAACCCUGUGGAACUAUAGUGAAAGCACCACAAGUUCGGCCUCAUGCUUUGGAGAAGAUACUGAGACGUUGCUGGUGCUGCUCACAUCACUCUUAGAUGCAGAACUAGCGCUGGAUUACAGCCUCGACGGAGAUGUAAGGGACUACCACAAACUGUAUUGGGAAAGAGAGUUCAAGCCUGUGGCAGAAAAACUUCUUGAUAGAAUUCAGAAUCAUCAGUCCUUCCAGCUGUGACUGGCUAUUACUCCAUUUUAAUCAGUCAUAUUUUUUUUGGUGCUAUAGGUUGACCAGCUUUACAUUUCUAAUAUACCUGUACUUUGCCAUUGAUCACUAAGAACAAACCACUGAGCAGGGGCUGCUGGGCUCCUGGCUGUGAUCCUGAGGGUCAGCAGCCUCGUGUUGUGCUGUGUGUGUCAGGAGUGCAAGUCUUCCCCUGGCAAUCCCCUCAGAGAGGCUGGAGGAAUUGGUUUGAGGCAGUGAUUUGGAGCUCCCUCAGUGGCACUGCUGUACCUUUGACAUUGCUCUGCUUCCAGGUGAGGAGAUGAAGCAAGGAGGCUGGGAAACACAGCUGUGGUAGAAGGGCAGGGAAACUUUCUUCGUAGCUUAGAUCCCUGCUUCUCAGGGACUUCUUUGCUGUUGAUGGGACAGGGGAGGAGAGAUUUCAUGGUCCUGGUUUUGGGAGUGGUGCAGAGGCUCUGUAAGAGCUGCUUGGUAGUCAUCAGGGCUUAUAGCCUGCAGGGGAGGGCAGCCCACACCAGUGGCCAAAGCAGUGCUGUGGCUUCUCCCUCCUGCCCUUCUGUCACACACAGCUGCUGCUGUCUGCAGUGAUCACCACUCAUGAAGCAUCUGGCAACUCAACCCUUUCUUGUUUAAAGACUAACCCCACUGACUUUGGUUGCCACUGUACUUAACAACUUUGGCUUGGUCUCUUUUGCUUAGCACCACAAAUGCCUCAGCAUGGAAAAUGCCCAACCAUCUUCAGGCCCCUUCUCCAAAGUAAGUAGCAUGGUGUGUAGUUAGGGUUGGCUGCAGGUUGUGGUUACUGCUGCGGUUGAAAAUGUGACCGUAUGAAGCCACUGGCACACACAUGCUGCAGUGUUCGCUGCUUGAGAAGGCAGAGUGUGUCUGCAGGUACCUGCAUUUGCCUGGAUAGCACAGGACAGAAACAGCCAGUUCAGGCUUCUCAGAAAAUUUCCUGUCAACCUUUGACCACCCCCAAAAAGCAACCGGAGAAUCAGGUGCUUCAGAAACUCCACCUACAGACUGGAGAGACACUGUGUCCUUAGGCAGGCAGAGCUUAGCUUUAUGCUGUGGCCUUACACAGGAAAGUUUUGCUCUGGCUGUGGAACAUUAAAAAUCCUGUAUUUUUAGUUAAGAGGAAACAGCAGAUGCUUCCUGUUAGUCACAUUUUUUGACAGUUUAUUAAUCUUUCUCCCCUAGAUCUUUUUAGAUAUUUUAGCUUCUUGGACUGUAAACUUAAAACUGUUCUCAGAAUGUUCUGUAUUCAGAGCAACCAGUCUGAGCUCACUGAGAAGCAGGCCAAGGGACAGGAAUCUUAAUUUCAUUCUGCUGGUGGACUUGGGAAAAUCUGUUUCUUUCCUGCCCUAUGGAUAACACUCCUUACUGUAAGCAGGUGGGGUUUCUACACUUAGAGGGUAAUCCCCAUCACAGCCAGCAGUAGGAGUGUGUCCAAAAGGCUUUGUCACUCACUUGUGGCAAACCCUCCUCCUGCUGCCUGUUACCUCUUGCCAUAAAAUCCUCAGUCUAGCUGUGCAGACCUGGUUGUCCUUCCAAUGGCAGAUGCCCUUCUGGCACCAGGCUAUGGAAAUCAGCAGCCAAAGAUGGAGCUAAGUUCACUACAAGAGGAUUUUAAAAUCACUUUAAUUCAAUUCUUAAAAUAGUAUUUAGAGCUGGUUAUUGAAAAUAAGUGACUAUAUAAAUAUACAGAUGUAAGCUCUGCCCAUUACCUGGGAGGAAAGAGAAAACCCAGUAUGACAGAGUAUUCCUCUACACAGGGUGGAGGACUAUAGGAAGCAUGGAAACACUAUAGUAUAGAUUUAGGUCUUCACUGAAAUUAUGUUCUUUUUAAACUGGGUUUUCUCCCAUCAUUUUAGACU